UUUAAAGAGAGUUUGAUCCUGGCUCAGGACGAACGCUGGCGGCGUGCCUAAUACAUGCAAGUCGAACGAACGGAGGAAGAGCUUGCUCUUCCAAAGUUAGUGGCGGACGGGUGAGUAACACGUGGGCAACCUGCCUGUAAGUUGGGGAUAACUCCGGGAAACCGGGGCUAAUACCGAAUGAUAAAGUGUGGCGCAUGCCAUGCUUUUGAAAGAUGGUUUCGGCUAUCGCUUACAGAUGGGCCCGCGGUGCAUUAGCUAGUUGGUAGGGUAAUGGCCUACCAAGGCAACGAUGCAUAGCCGACCUGAGAGGGUGAUCGGCCACACUGGGACUGAGACACGGCCCAGACUCCUACGGGAGGCAGCAGUAGGGAAUCUUCCGCAAUGGACGAAAGUCUGACGGAGCAAC
RNAcentral lists this ribosomal RNA (406 nucleotides) under Listeria monocytogenes. RNAcentral's name for it is "bacterial SSU rRNA". It matches the Rfam family "Bacterial small subunit ribosomal RNA", at positions 1 to 395 of the family's 1533-position model. Lineage: Bacteria; Bacillati; Bacillota; Bacilli; Caryophanales; Listeriaceae. The record is from RNAcentral.